CAAGCCUGAUCCAGCCAUGCCGCGUGGGUGAAGAAGGCCUUCGGGUUGUAAAGCCCUUUUGUUGGGAAAGAAAAGCAGCCGGCCAAUACCCGGUUGUUCUGACGGUACCCAAAGAAUAAGCCCCGGCUAACUUCGUGCCAGCAGCCGCGGUAAUACGAAGGGGGCUAGCGUUGCUCGGAAUUACUGGGCGUAAAGGGCGCGUAGGCGGACUGUUUAGUCAGAGGUGAAAGCCCAGGGCUCAACCUUGGAAUUGCCUUUGAUACUGGCAGUCUUGAGUACGGAAGAGGUGUGUGGAACUCCGAGUGUAGAGGUGAAAUUCGUAGAUAUUCGGAAGAACACCAGUGGCGAAGGCGACACACUGGGCCGUUACUGACGCUGAGGCGCGAAAGCGUGGGGAGCAAACA
RNAcentral lists this ribosomal RNA (404 nucleotides) under uncultured Alphaproteobacteria bacterium. RNAcentral's name for it is "bacterial SSU rRNA". It matches the Rfam family "Bacterial small subunit ribosomal RNA", at positions 378 to 774 of the family's 1533-position model. Lineage: Bacteria; Pseudomonadati; Pseudomonadota; Alphaproteobacteria. The record is from RNAcentral.